CUGGGUGUAAGGAUUCCCACGGUGGCUCUUCACAUGAUGGAACUGUUUGACACAACUGUAGAGCAGCUGUAUAGCAUCUUCACUGUAAAGGAUUUAACAAAGAAGAAGAUCAUCAUGAAAUGGAGAUGUAGGAACUGGCCAGAAGGUAUGUUACUAAUUACUGCCCUUCAUAUUAAAGGUCCCAAAACACUAAGGCUAGGUUUUUCGUAUGGAUAAAUUUUCCUUUUCAUAAUGCGGUAAUAAGGUUCCUAUUUUUUUUCUUAGAACACUAUGCCAUGGUUGCACUGAAUUUUGUGCCUACUCUAGGGCAAACAGAAUUACAAUUGAAGGAGUUCCUAUCUGUAAAGAAGAGAACAUGAAAUUCUGUUGGCAGAAGCAGCAUUUUGAAGAAAUAAAAGGUUUACUGCAGCUGACCCCCC
Molecule: small RNA, 419 nt
Filed under: Pan troglodytes (chimpanzee)
Lineage: Eukaryota; Metazoa; Chordata; Mammalia; Primates; Hominidae
Description: processed transcript
Source: RNAcentral